RNAcentral lists this ribosomal RNA (2088 nucleotides) under human gut metagenome. Its description in RNAcentral is "bacterial LSU rRNA". It matches the Rfam family "Bacterial large subunit ribosomal RNA", at positions 808 to 2925 of the family's 2925-position model. The record is from RNAcentral.
GGUGUGGAUAGGGGAGAAAUUCCAAUCGAACCCGGAGAUAGCUGGUUCUCCUCGAAAUAGCUUUAGGGCUAGCCUCGAUAGAGUCUUGCGGAGGUAGAGCACUGAAUUUCCUAGGGGGCGUCAAAGCUUACCGAAGAAUAUCAAACUCCGAAUGCCGUGUAGAUGCUUAUCGGGAGUCAGACUAUACGAGAUAAGUUGGAUAGUCAAAAGGGAAAGAGCCCAGACCUCCAGCUAAGGUCCCAAAGUACGUGUUAAGUGGAAAAGGAUGUGGGAUUUCGAAGACAACCAGGAUGUUGGCUCAGAAGCAGCCAUACAUUCAAAGAGUGCGUAAUAGCUCACUGGUCGAGAGGUCCUGCGCCGAAAAUGUCCGGGGCUAAAACACGACACCGAAGCUGAGGAAUGUAUUUGAUACAUUGGUAGAGGAGCAUUGAAUACGGGAAGAAGCAGUACCGAAAGGAGCUGUGGACUGUAUUGAAGAGAGAAUGCCGGAAUGAGUAGCGAGAAUAAGGUGAGAAUCCUUAUGGCCGAAUAUCUAAGGUUUCCAGGGUAAAGCUGAUCUGCCCUGGGUAAGUCGGGACCUAAGGCGAGGUCGAAAGACGUAGCCGAUGGACAACAGGUUGAGAUUCCUGUACUGCGUUAGAACAGAACUGUGGGGACACGUGUGGAAAGCACAACCCGGGAAUGGAAUCCCGGGGCAAGCGAAGGAGGAGUCACAUAGGAAAAACCGUGUGGCAAUCCAAAGGCGUGAUGCGGACCGAACUAGAGUAGGGAAGUGUGUGAGCCAUGCGUCAAGAAAAGCCGCUAUUGUUUGUAACGUACCCGUACCGUAAACCGACACAGGUGGAUGAGGAGAGAAUCCUAAGGCCGACGGAAGAAGCAUUGCCAAGGAACUCGGCAAAAUGACCCCGUAACUUCGGGAGAAGGGGUGCCCGUGUAAAAGCGGGCCGCAGAGAAUAGGCUCAAGCAACUGUUUAGCAAAAACACAGGUCUAUGCGAAACCGAAAGGUGAGGUAUAUGGGCUGACGCCUGCCCGGUGCUGGAAGGUUAAGAGGAGAUGUCAGGAAACGAAGCAUUGAAUUUAAGCCCCAGUAAACGGCGGCCGUAACUAUAACGGUCCUAAGGUAGCGAAAUUCCUUGUCGGGUAAGUUCCGACCCGCACGAAAGGCGUAAUGAUUUGAGCGCUGUCUCGGCAAUGCAUCCGGUGAAAUUGAAGUACCAGUGAAGAUGCUGGUUACCUGCGCCAGGACGGAAAGACCCCAUGGAGCUUUACUCCAGUUUGGUACUGGGAUUCGGUAUUGCAUGUACAGGAUAGGUGGGAGACUAAGAGGUAGUGACGCCAGUUGCUACGGAGUCGAUGUUGGGAUACCACCCUUGCAGUAUUGGGUUUCUAACCAGCCGCCGUGACCCGGCGGUGGGACAAUGCCAGGCGGGGAGUUUGACUGGGGCGGUCGCCUCCGAAAGGGUAUCGGAGGCGCCCAAAGGUUCCCUCAGAAUGGACGGAAACCAUUCGAAGAGUGCAAAGGCAGAAGGGAGCUUGACUGCGACACCGACGGGUGGAGCAGGUACGAAAGUAGGGCUUAGUGAUCCGGUGGUAUUAAGUGGGAAUGCCAUCGCUCAACGGAUAAAAGCUACCCUGGGGAUAACAGGCUUAUCACUCCCAAGAGUUCACAUCGACGGAGUGGUUUGGCACCUCGAUGUCGGCUCAUCGCAUCCUGGGGCUGUAGUAGGUCCCAAGGGUUGGGCUGUUCGCCCAUUAAAGCGGUACGCGAGCUGGGUUCAGAACGUCGUGAGACAGUUCGGUCCCUAUCCGGCGUGGGCGUAGGAUAUCUGAGAGGAGCUGUCCUUAGUACGAGAGGACCGGGAUGGACGGGCCGCUGGUGCACCGGUUAGACUGCCAAGUCUAUAGCCGGGUAGCCAAGCCCGGAAGGGAUAAACGCUGAAGGCAUCUAAGCGUGAAGCCCCCCUCAAGAUGAGAUAUCCCAUCCGAAAGGAGUAAACCCCCUUGAAGACGACGAGGUUGAUAGGGCAGGGGUGGAAGUGUGGUAACACAUGGAGCUGACUGCUACUAAUAGGGUGAGGGCUUGACCA